RNAcentral lists this ribosomal RNA (290 nucleotides) under uncultured bacterium. RNAcentral describes it as "partial 16S ribosomal RNA". It matches the Rfam family "Bacterial small subunit ribosomal RNA", at positions 775 to 1067 of the family's 1533-position model. The record is from RNAcentral.
GGAUUAGAUACCCUGGUAGUCCACGCUGUAAACGAUGGUCACUAGCUGUUUGGGCGCAAGUCUGAGUGGCUAAGCGAAAGUGAUAAGUGACCCACCUGGGGAGUACGAUCGCAAGAUUGAAACUCAAAGGAAUUGACGGGGGCCCGCACAAGCGGUGGAGCAUGUGGUUUAAUUCGAAGCAACGCGAAGAACCUUACCAGGUCUUGACAUCCAGAGAACUUACUAGAGAUAGUUUGGUGCCUUCGGGAACUCUGUGACAGGUGCUGCAUGGCUGUCGUCAGCUCGUGCCG